UACAGGGGGGGCAAGCGUUGUUCGGAAUUACUGGGCGUAAAGGGCUCGUAGGCGGCCAACUAAGUCACACGUGAAAUCCCCAGGCUCAACCUGGGAACUGCGUGUGAUACUGGAUGGCUUGAAUUCGGGAGAGGGAUGCAGAAUUCCAGGUGUAGCGGUGAAAUGCGUAGAUAUCAGGAGGAAUACCGAUGGCGAAGGCAGGUCUCUGGGCUGACACUGACGCUCAUGCACGAAAGCGUGGGGAGCAAACAGG
Molecule: ribosomal RNA, 253 nt
Filed under: uncultured bacterium
Lineage: Bacteria
Description: partial 16S ribosomal RNA
Rfam family: Bacterial small subunit ribosomal RNA
Source: RNAcentral